GACGAACGCUGGCGGCGUGCUUAACACAUGCAAGUCGAACGGAAAGGCCCUGCUUUUGUGGGGUGCUCGAGUGGCGAACGGGUGAGUAACACGUGAGUAACCUGCCCUUGACUUUGGGAUAACUUCAGGAAACUGGGGCUAAUACCGGAUAGGAGCUCCUGCUGCAUGGUGGGGGUUGGAAAGUUUCGGCGGUUGGGGAUGGACUCGCGGCUUAUCAGCUUGUUGGUGGGGUAGUGGCUUACCAAGGCUUUGACGGGUAGCCGGCCUGAGAGGUUGACCGGCCACAUUGGGACUGAGAUACGGCCCAGACUCCUACGGGAGGCAGCAGUGGGGAAUAUUGCACAAUGGGCGGAAGCCUGAUGCAGCAACGCCGCGUGCGGGAUGAAGGCCUUCGGGUUGUAAACCGCUUUCGCCUGUGACGAAGCGUGAGUGACGGUAAUGGGUAAAGAAGCACCGGCUAACUACGUG
RNAcentral lists this ribosomal RNA (468 nucleotides) under uncultured bacterium. Its description in RNAcentral is "partial 16S ribosomal RNA". It matches the Rfam family "Bacterial small subunit ribosomal RNA", at positions 28 to 507 of the family's 1533-position model. The record is from RNAcentral.